UAUUAAUGGAAAUCUUGGUGCGCAUGAAUUACUGCACGCAGUUGACUUUCGUAUCCCUGUUUUUAAAUCUCGCUCUGUAACCCAUUCUCUGUUUCAUUUUUUUACCAGUUACAUGUCUAACCGUCUUUUUAACAUUGAUGUUGGCCUACGAAGUUCUAUCUUUUUUACUCUAGAUUUUAUGAUUUUUAAGUAUAUUUAUAUCUUUAGCUAUUGCAAUUUUGUACCAUCAACUUAACUGUCGUGUCUGUAAUCUAUAUUAUUGGUUU
Molecule: non-coding RNA, 266 nt
Organism: Cinara cedri
Lineage: Eukaryota; Metazoa; Arthropoda; Insecta; Hemiptera; Aphididae
Source: the annotation of a GenBank genome assembly